Molecule: ribosomal RNA, 271 nt
Filed under: uncultured soil bacterium
Lineage: Bacteria
Description: partial 16S ribosomal RNA
Rfam family: Bacterial small subunit ribosomal RNA
Source: RNAcentral
AGAAUCAACGCUGGCGGCGUGCCUAACACAUGCAAGUCGAACGCGGUUACCCCGCAAGGGGUAACUGAGUGGCGAACGGGUGAGUAACACGUGGGUGACCUACCUUCGAAUGGGGGAUAACGUCCCGAAAGGGACGCUAAUACCGCAUAACAUCCUGCCUUUGAACAGGCGGAGAUCAAAGCCGGGGAUCGCAAGACCUGGCGUUUGAAGAGGGGCCCGCGUCCGAUUAGCUAGUUGGUGAAGUAACGGCUCACCAAGGCGACGAUCGGUA